Molecule: non-coding RNA, 2301 nt
Organism: Punica granatum (pomegranate)
Lineage: Eukaryota; Viridiplantae; Streptophyta; Magnoliopsida; Myrtales; Lythraceae
Source: RefSeq, a predicted model, not a curated record
AUCUUUCUCUGUUCUCUUCUAUUCUUUCGUCGUUUUUAGCUCUCUGUGUCUCCUUCGGUCACUAAUUUCAUUUCCCUAUCCUUCACGUGGCCCGGGACCCAACCCAACCGAAAAUCAGCACUCCUCGCCACCUCAUUUCUUCCUUCCCCGCUCUCUCUCUCUCUUCGCCGGAGCUGGAUGAUGGAGAUGGAGGAUACAGGGAGCUGCGGCAGCAGAGCCCACGACGACGCGUCCUCCGCCGCCUCUCUGUCUCCCUCCCGUUCUCCCCGGGCGCAGAGCAGGCGGCUGCCGGGGAAGAAGCUCGACGUCUACAGCGAGAUCCUCCGCCGCCUCCGUGACUCCGGCAACGAGGAGGCCAUGCGCCCCGGGUUCGAGGAUGAACUCUGGAACCACUUCAAUCGCCUCCCCACGCGGUAUGCGUUGGAUGUAAAUGUCGAGAGGGCAGAGGACGUGCUUAUGCACAAAAGGUUGCUGCAUCUGGCUCAUGAUCCCGAUAAUCCGCCUGCAAUCGAAGUUCGCCUUGUACAGGUUCCUCCAACAUCAGAGGUACAUUCAAUUGAUUCUGUCCAUUCAGGUUCUUUGAAUGAAGAUGGUUCCCAGAGUCCAGCAAAUUACCAGAAGAAGAAAAGUAUACAUCCACCACCUGCCUUUGGUUCAUCACCUAAUCUUGAAGCUCUUGCCCUAGAAGCAAGUAAAUCACCAGCAAUGGAUGGGGAUAACUCUGUUCAUGCCAAUACGCAUUUUUCUCGGCCAAUGCAUGAAAUCACCUUUUCAGCAGAUGACAAACCGAAGCUUCUUAGCCAGUUGACAUGCCUACUCUCUGAGGUUGGACUAAACAUCCAAGAGGCACAUGCAUUUUCUACCACGGAUGGGUAUUCCUUGGAUGUCUUUGUUGUUGAUGGCUGGCCAUAUGAGGAAACAGAGAAGCUUACAACAGCUUUGGAAAAGGAAAUUUUCAAGAGCGAGAAGCAAGCAUGGCUGGAUUCUCCAAUAUCAUCUCACGCCAGUGAUAAGCAAACAGGGAUGAAUGGUGAAGUUGAUCACUUGUCGAUACCCAAUGAUGGAAAUGAUGUUUGGGAAAUAGAUCUCAACCACUUGAAGUUUGGGGACAAAAUUGCAUCUGGGUCCUAUGGUGAUCUGUUCAAAGGUACAUAUUGUAGUCAGGAUGUGGCAAUUAAGGUACUGAAGCCUGAGCGUAUAAAUUCCGAUCUGCAAAGAGAGUUUGCACAAGAAGUUUUUAUAAUGAGGAAAGUUCGACACAGAAAUGUCGUGCAAUUCAUUGGUGCAUGUACAAAGCCUCCAAGCUUAUGUAUUGUUACAGAAUUUAUGUCUGGGGGAAGUAUUUAUGACUACCUACACAAACAGAAAGGUGUUUUUAAGCUACCUACAUUGCUCAAAGUAGCUAUCGAUGUCUCAAAGGGGAUGAACUAUUUGCACCAGAACAAUAUCAUCCACAGGGAUUUGAAGGCUGCCAAUAUACUGAUGGACGAGCAUGAAGUUGCUAAGGUUGCCGAUUUCGGGGUUGCCAGAGUGAAAGCUCAGACUGGAGUCAUGACUGCUGAAACUGGGACAUACAGAUGGAUGGCGCCUGAGGUCAUCGAGCACAAGCCUUAUGAUCACAAGGCUGAUGUUUUCAGUUUCGGGAUUGUGUUAUGGGAGCUGCUAACUGGAAAGCUUCCUUACGAAUACUUGACGCCAUUACAAGCAGCCGUUGGAGUUGUUCAGAAGGUCUCGGAGAAAAGAUUCUUUACAGCAAUCAAAAUACAGGUUUACGGCCUAUUAUCCCGAAAAACACCCAUCCCAAGCUUGUCGAGCUAUUAGAGAGAUGCUGGCAGCAAGAUCCAACCUUGAGACCCGACUUCUCCGAAAUAAUAGAAAUCUUGCGACAAACUGCCAAGGAGUUUGGGCAAGAAGGGGAGGAUCGGCGGAAGGACAAAUCAGGCGGAUUCCUAUCCGUCCUAAGACGAGGGCUCUAACAUUCUGAUAAUGGAUGUACGCGAAAAGUAGCCAUUCUACUACUUUCGAGCAAUACUCAUUCGUCGUCUGCCCUCUAUUUUAUUUUAUCCAUCAUUUCAGUGUACAGUCUAUUACAGGUGAUGUCUGCUGCUCUAUGUAAAUUAUACACCUAAAAAAGGGGGAGAAGUAAAACAGCCAUUCUCUAUAUUCCAAUCUGUGCUGUUGUAAGGUCUAAUCGGAGAGUGUCUGAUGGCUUUGAAGAGUUGUGGAGCUUUCAAUCUUAAUUAUUUUGACGAACACAGAAGGCAUGGCGUUGUUGAUAACUAUAGAAAACAGUUUCACUUA